AAAGAACCAAAACUGGCCUCAUUUGAACUUGGAUCAUAAAUUAAGCGGUCCUUUAAACAGGCCGGGCCGAGCCUAUUGACCACUAUAUAUAUAUGUGCCAUCCCUGGCCUAAUCGCAUCGUUUAUUUUUGAGAUUUUUCUCGUCGCCGAUACCGAUUAAUAUCUCAAUCGGACGCCAUCUCGAACCCUAAAACCAUUCUACUUAUUCCCGGAUUAUUCCGUCCCCGAUGGCGGACCCGGCCACCGCCGGAGGACCGUCGGAGCCGGCGGGGGAAGCCGCCGCCGCCGGUGGCAUGACGAGGAAGGAGAAGCGGAAGGCGAUGAAGAAGUUGAAGAGGAAGCAGCUCAGGAAGGAGGAGGCGAUCCGGGAGCGCGAGCAGGACGAGGCGCGGUCCACUGAUCCGGAGGAGCAGCUGAGGAUCCGACUAAGGGAGCAGGAGGAGGCCGAGAUCGCGGAGAGGGAGAGGAAGGCGUUCGAAGAGCGGGAGAGGCUCUGGUUGGAGGCCGCCACCGCAAGGAAGGCCGCGAAGGAGGAGGAGGAGGAGGAGGAGGCCCGGAGGAAGAAGCUUAUCGAAGAGUCGCGAGAAAAGGAGACUCAGCAGAAAGAGCACGCAGAUGAGUUGGAAGAAGGUGAUGAAUGGGAGUAUAUUGAGGAAGGUCCCGCAGAAAUCAUCUGGCAAGGAAAUGAAAUCAUAGUCAAGAAGAAAAGAGUUAGAGUUGCAAAGAAAAGUGAUAGACAGCCAAUCAACGAGGAUGAUGACAGACCCACAUCAAAUCCCCUUCCUCCACAGUCUGUAGCUUUUACUUCGUACAAGAUUGGGCCAUCAAUGUCAGCACAAGAAGUACUUGAAAAAUCUGCUCAACAGAUUCCAAAUUUUGGAACCGAGCAAGAUAAAGCUCACUGUCCAUUUCACCUUAAGACCGGGGCCUGUCGUUUCGGGUCACGUUGCAGUAGAGUUCAUUUUCAUCCUGAUAAAUCUUGCACAUUGCUCAUCAAAAACAUGUACAGUGGCCCAGGACUUGCUUGGGAGCAAGAUGAGGGGCUUGAGUACACGGAUGAAGAGGUCGAACGUUGUUAUGAAGAAUUUUAUGAGGAUGUACAUACAGAAUUUUUGAAGUUUGGUGAACUUGUUAAUUUCAAGGUGUGCAGGAAUGGUUCUUACCAUCUACGUGGAAAUGUGUACGUGCACUACAAGUCCUUGGAUUCAGCCCUUCUUGCUUACAGUAACAUGAAUGGCCGUUAUUAUGCUGGAAAACAGAUAAUGUGUGAGUUUGUUACUAUCGCAAGAUGGAAGGUUGCUAUAUGUGGGGAAUACAUGAAAUCAGGGUUAAAGACUUGCUCUCAUGGAACUGCUUGCAAUUUCAUUCACUGCUUUCACAACCCUGGAGGGGACUACGAGUGGGCUGAUUGGGAUAACCCUCCACCUAAAUACUGGAUUAGAAAGAUGUCUGCUCUAUUUGGCCACCCAGAAUCAGCGUAUGACAAGAAAAUGGAGCUAGAAGAUUGUGAGAAGUUGAGGGAUUCAAACAGGAAGAAAACAUCAAAAAACAACAGUAGGUAUCGUUCAAGAAGAUCUGUUGAUGGUGAGACAGAUGUGCGAGAUAGUGUUUCCAUCAGAGAAGAUCCAGAUAUAAGGAGAGAUCAAUACAGCAGGCACUCAAUCAGGAGAGAGCACUCUUAUAGAAGAAGAAAAGAAAUAGCUUUUCUGGAUAAGCUUGAGCAAUCUGAGGAAAACAACAAGUCAGAAGCAAGGCAUUGUUUCCCCAGUCAUGAUUCAGAUGAGGACAUCUCUAAGACAAGGGAUGGGGAUUUCCUUAAAAGGCACUGGAAAUAUGAAGAGAAGAACAAUGUUGACGAUCAUUAUAAGAGGAAACAUCAAACAGCGGAAGAUUUGUCUAGGAAGGAAAGUGGAACGGCUUACUCCAGUGGGCGAAGCAAACCAAAGAAGCGUCAUAAAUCCAAAUCUCAUGAAGUACAUAAGAAGGAACAUGGAUCAUCUGGUUGGCAUUUGGGCAACGAUAAUAACAACAGGGUGCCAAGCAUUAGGCCUCCAAGUGAUAAGACUGGUGGUGUACUUAAGAUUGAUGAAGAGCGGUAUGAUGGGGGAUAUUGUUCAGAAUGUUCUGAUGAUGUUGGUUACAACAGAGAUUCCUCCAUGUAUGGAACAAAGAAAGAAUAUCGCCUGAGUGAAAAAAGAGAAUGUGAUCGAUAUAACUCCCAACAUCAUAAAAGUCAUAAAUCCUAUAAUUAUGAAAGUGAUGAUGAGAAUAGUAAAUUUAGAAAACAGAGGACUGGAAGUCAGAGAGAUUCUUUUAAUGAUUCUGCUAAUGAUUGGAAAUCCACAGAUAAAAAUUCUGAUCAGAAAGGUGCUGAUGACACCUUACCAAGUAAUAGCAGUCGAUCUUAUAGGCAAUAUAGUAGAAGUGGUAGAAAGAGAAAACAUCACCCGGGGAAAGAUGCGUGCAGAAAAUGUGAUGGAGAAAUUAGUAAUUCGGAUUCUGAUAGGGCAGAGUUGAAUAGGAGUGCCUACAAGAAGCAUUCAAGAAGCCGCACACACAUUCAGUGAUCUGGCAGUUUGAGGGACCAUAGUCAUUAAAGCAGUUGUGAUUUCCCAAGGCUUCAAAUAUGUGCUACAUAUGCAAGAAGAUGUGGCAAGUGUUUUUCUGUGCGCCUAAUGAUUCCAUUCAACCAAGGUACGCUACACCAAUCCGGAUCGGGCAGUACGGAGUGUACCGUACCAGUUCAGUACUAGUACCUUGUACAGGUGGUAUACCGAGCAUUGCUACACCAAAAAAACUCCGUAUCAUAGGCGAACAUUGCAUUCAACUAAAUAAUUCUCAGAGGUUGAACUGAGAGUUGGGUUAGACCUUAAUGUGUUGGGUUGCAGCUCUUUAUUUUACCUUCAGUCAUCAAUGGCGGGCAUUGGAGGGUGAUUUUCUUUAACCCUUUUCUUGUGUUGACCAAAUGCAGCUGCUGGAUUGUAUAACUAAACUCCCCGAUUUAUUAUCUUCUCUGUAUAUUAUAAUGGUAUGAGUAGCCUUUUCCAUCCAGAACGAAUCGAUUGAAUGUGAACAGGUCAUGCUUUUCAGGUUAUAUCAAACUAUGUCAUCAUGUUCUUAUUCCUUUGCUA
Non-coding RNA from Phoenix dactylifera (date palm), 3130 nucleotides. The record is from RefSeq and is a predicted model, not a curated record. NCBI's taxonomy places the organism in Eukaryota, Viridiplantae, Streptophyta, Magnoliopsida, Arecales, Arecaceae.